RNAcentral lists this small RNA (97 nucleotides) under Mycolicibacterium chubuense NBB4. Its description in RNAcentral is "Mycobacterium chubuense NBB4 Mycobacterium sRNA ncrMT1302". It matches the Rfam family "Mycobacterium sRNA ncrMT1302". Lineage: Bacteria; Bacillati; Actinomycetota; Actinomycetes; Mycobacteriales; Mycobacteriaceae. The record is from Rfam by way of RNAcentral.
AAGUGACUCGUCCGAAGCGUCAGCAUGCGGGGUUUGAGCUGGCCGCGCUGGAUAUUGGAGUCGCCCCCGAGUGUCCUCCCGGGCCUGCCCCAAGUCU